Molecule: ribosomal RNA, 489 nt
Filed under: uncultured bacterium
Lineage: Bacteria
Description: partial 16S ribosomal RNA
Rfam family: Bacterial small subunit ribosomal RNA
Source: RNAcentral
AUUGAACGCUGGCGGCAGGCCUAACACAUGCAAGUCGAACGGUAACAGGAAGCAGCUUGCUGCUUUGCUGACGAGUGGCGGACGGGUGAGUAAUGUCUGGGAAACUGCCUGAUGGAGGGGGAUAACUACUGGAAACGGUAGCUAAUACCGCAUAACGUCGCAAGACCAAAGAGGGGGACCUUCGGGCCUCUUGCCAUCGGAUGUGCCCAGAUGGGAUUAGCUAGUAGGUGGGGUAACGGCUCACCUAGGCGACGAUCCCUAGCUGGUCUGAGAGGAUGACCAGCCAAACUGGAACUGAGACACGGUCCAGACUCCUACGGAGGGCAGCAGUGGGGAAUAUUGCACAAGGGGCGCAAGCCUGAUGCAGCCAUGCCGCGGGUAUGAAGAAGGCCUUCGGGUGGUAAAGUACUUUCAGCGGGGAGAAGGGAGUAAAGUUAAUACCUUUGCUCAUUGACGUUACCCGCAGAAGAAGCACCGGCUAACUCCGUG